GGUUUAAUUACCGAGGUUUGAGAUAAUUGAGUGUUUCGGCCCAGAGUUUCGGCUAGUGUGGCUUGAAGUAAAAUUUUGGAAUGUCCUGCAAUUUUGUGGGACAAC
RNAcentral lists this small RNA (105 nucleotides) under Loa loa (African eye worm). Its description in RNAcentral is "sL1 RNA". It matches the Rfam family "SL1 RNA". Lineage: Eukaryota; Metazoa; Nematoda; Chromadorea; Rhabditida; Onchocercidae. The record is from RNAcentral.